This 468-nucleotide ribosomal RNA is filed under the name uncultured bacterium. RNAcentral's name for it is "partial 16S ribosomal RNA". It matches the Rfam family "Bacterial small subunit ribosomal RNA", at positions 28 to 507 of the family's 1533-position model. The record is from RNAcentral.
GAUGAACGCUGGCGGCGUGCUUAACACAUGCAAGUCGAACGGAGAGGACGUACCUUUGUGUGGUGCUCGAGUGGCGAACGGGUGAGUAACACGUGAGUAACCUGCCCCUGACUCUGGGAUAACCUCUGGAAACUGCGGCUAAUACUGGAUAGGUGACCCUGCUGCAUGGUGGGCGUUGGAAAGUUUCGUCGGUUGGGGAUGGACUCGCGGCCUAUCAGCUUGUUGGUGGGGUAGUGGCUUACCAAGGCCUUGACGGGUAGCCGGCCUGAGAGGGUGACCGGCCACACUGGGACUGAGAUACGGCCCAGACUCCUACGGGAGGCAGCAGUGGGGAAUAUUGCACAAUGGGCGGAAGCCUGAUGCAGCAACGCCGCGUGCGGGAUGACGGCCUUCGGGUUGUAAACCUCUUUCGGCAGGGACGAAGCGAGAGUGACGGUACCUGCAGAAAAAGCGCCGGCUAACUACGUG